This 1109-nucleotide long non-coding RNA is filed under the name Struthio camelus australis. RNAcentral describes it as "lncRNA (ENSSCUG00000013470.1)". The record is from RNAcentral. Lineage: Eukaryota; Metazoa; Chordata; Aves; Struthioniformes; Struthionidae.
AUUUAAGGCAAGCUGCAAGAUUUUGUACUGAAGCAACUGAGAAGCAUGUGUAUGCUUCACCUUGGUAGCUCUUCUGUGGGGAUAGUGACAUUGGACUCAAGGUUGCAUGUACUUCAGAUCCAGUCCUAGGGCGCAAGGCCCCCUUUGAGAAGCCACUGAAGCUUGGGCACAAACUAGUCUGCUGGAGCAUAUAGCAGAGUUACAGAUCAAAGAACAGAGGUCAAUGUGUUUUCAGAGGCCAGUUUCAAGCAAGAAGUCAUAUCUGGGAUUUCUAUUUCAUAUAGGUUAUUUGAUGCGACAUCUAAGACUACGUUUUCAAUAAAACAGGAACCAAGCAGACUAUAUGGAAUGAGCCCAGAAAAUGGUUUUAUAAGAAGACAGCAUCAGGGUCAAUGCUUACGUCUGCCCUUUGCCACAGUUCUCCUUCAUUGUUUCAUGCAGAAAUAACUCACAUUUUAUGAUUAAAAAAAGUUUUGUUCUCAAGAUUCACUGCGGUGCUCACAUACACAUUGUCUGCGUUGAUUUUACAACAGAUAGGAAGAUACCGCCUUUCAAAUCGAUUUUGUGAAAAGUUAAACGUGAAAAGCUGCUCAACUUCUGUAUGUUGUGACAAAACUGAGCUGCACAAAACUGAACUGCCUCCCAACUUUGUUUCUACAUCUGUUUCAUUCAUUUGUAUUUAUUAUAAUUAUGUCUAGACUUGGUUUGCUGCAUUAUUUUAAACCUUUUUUCGCUUUUUACUUUUUUGCUUUUUUUUUUUUGCUUUUCUGUCUUUUUACUUUGACUGCUUACUUGGAGUAAAUAUUUUACUAAUUCUAUUUUAACUGAGUAACAAUGUGUCUAUAGAACACUAUAAUGUUAUAUUAGUUUUUGGGGGAAUCAAUAGGUAACUAACUGUGACAGCUUGGAAAUCAGAGAUCUAAUAUACCAUACUGGGAAGCAUAGACUAUCCUGGUUCUCAGGUAAGCAUGUGCCAUCAUUACUACAUGCCUGAGGCAACAGUUACCAUAUGCACUGGGAGUGUUGCCAUUAGAUUUCCAGGGAGGGUUCUACCAGAUUUUAAAUUAGGAAUGACCUUUAGAUAAAAUGGCAAGAUCUAAACAAUUCAG